UUCAAUUUCCUUCUCUCAAAGGGUGCUUCAAAUUCAGACCUUGUUCACAUCAUCACCAGAAAUCCUCUUAUGUUGUCUCAAAGCUUGCAAAAUACAAUAACCCCUUGUUAUGAUUUUAUCAAAAGAUUCUUACUUUCUGAUCAAUCUACCAUUGCAUCUCUCAAACAUUGCUCUUGUUUCCUUUAUUCUAAAUACCCAUCUCACAAUAUUCAGCUACUGCUUCAAUAUGGGGUCCCUGAGUCUAAACUUCUUAUUUUGUUUCAAAAUCAUUAUUACAUACUCUCUCAGAAUCCUUCAAUAUUUGAGAAGGGUAUAGCGGAAGUUAAAGAAUUAGGAUUUGACCCCAAAACAACCCUUUUCAUCGUCGCAUUGCGGGCUAAGAUUAAUAGCAAAUCCCAUUGGGAAAGGAAGAUUUAUUUGUAUAAGAAAUGGGGUUGGUCUGAUGAAAUUAUCGCCUCAGCAUUUUUGAAGUAUCCAUGGUGUAUGUUGGCAUCUGAGGAAAAAAUUGAGGCGGUGAUGCAGUUUCUUGUUAAUCACAUGGGUUGGGAAUCUAAUGUACUUGCCAAACAUCCGAUGCUUCUUAUGAUGAGUUUAGAGAAAAGGGUUAUUCCUAGGGCUUUUGUUUUGAAAUUUCUUCAAUCCAAAGGUUUGAUUAAGGAUGCUAAGUUGGCUGCACCUUUCAAAGUCUCUGAGGAUCUGUUUUUGAAGAGAUAUGUGAAUUGCUUUGAGGAAGAAGCAUCUCAGCUGUUGAAGUUGUAUGAAGAGAAAAGAGAUGCUUCAACUUUCAAAUAAGGUUUUGAAAAAAGAUUCGCAGCCACGAUCUUGGAAGCAACACAAAGGGUCUCUGCUGCAAUUUAGAACCUUGUUUUGAAGAUGGCACAGAUAUGCAAGUUGAAGUGGCGUUUCACAUCUCAUUGACCUUUUUUGGGGCGUUUGAAAUAGUCUAUAGUUUAAUUGGUGAGUGGUACUAGUAUCAGCUUACCAAAUUUUGUUACUUGAUCAUCCUGUAGGAUUCGUUCAUUGUUUAAGGGAAAACUACAACCUUUUUUAGACUAGAAAUACUUGUUUGACAACUGACAAUGACUUUUGCAAUCAACAUGAGUUAUAUAUUUUGGUGCACAGUGAUGUCUCUAUAAAAUAUGCUCUUUGGUAGUAUCCUUAAAUUUCACUCUUUUUUGCAGAAGUAACAUUCAUUCAUGCCCAAACAUGGUAUAUAGUCAUAGAAUAUGAUUUUUCUUGUGGUUUGUUCAUAUAAAAGUUCAUUGCCUACUUUCCAGUUCUUUGCUUGUGAUAACAAAUUUUUAUACAAGUUAAAUGAAAAUCAACAUAAUGUGAGAAGGAUGAUCUUUAUUCGGACAGAAUAAAAAAUACAUCUAUUUUUGUCGCAAGUAUUUCCUAGUUAGCUCAUCUCUCUCAGAUAACUCCCACUCCCUCAAUUUUAAAGCUUGUUAUAACUUUUUAUUUUUACUGCUCUUCAAGCAGUUCUGUUGAGGUUAAUUGAUGUUCCUAACUCGUAGUUGGCAGUAAACCUUGUGAGGAUCCCGCGAUUUGUGGCUCAGAUGGCUUCAUAUUCGAGCAUGAUAUCAUUAUUCUUAUUUAGUUUAUGGUGCAAUGCCCUUUUUAUUUUGAUACAAAUUUGGUUAGUAGCAGGAUUUGUUAUACAUGUGCAUUUAGGUUCUUCUCGUGACUGUGUUGUGCUUCUGGUAAUAGGGCCUUACCGUUUGUCCUAACCUUGCACUGGUAUUUUACUCUGCAUGAUAUUCCUGAGGUAUAAGAUGUUAUUUUAUUUUUUUCUUAGCACUUGCUGUUGUUGAGAUUCAUAUUUAGACUAUAGGAUGCGCAUUUAGGUUCUUCUCGUAACUGUGUUGUGUUUCUAAUCUUGUGGCAGAGCUCAUUUAGACUAUAGAAUUUUUUAUUUUUAUUUUUUAUGUAUUAGCAAUGAUGGAAAACCAUAGAUCCUUAUAGUCCUUUAUAGAAUUUGAUGCCAUGUGUACAUAUUUUAGUUUAAUUAUUUGUUUUAAUUGUACUUUUUUUAGUUUCACAUAAACAAUUGUAACGACCUUCAAGAGCUUCUAUUACUUUUAUGUUUGGAUCUCUUUAAGUAACAGAAAGGGAUAAAAUAGAGUAACUGGUACUUUGUCCUCAUUUGCUACAUUUUUUACAGCUAGUUUUGGUACACACAUUAGGCUAACUAAUAAUUGUGUUGUAACCCCAGAUGAAAUCUGGAACUGUGCCUUACUUGUUCAUAUGUACGACUCUUGUCUUGUUUCUGUUAUUUCUUAUUUGCAUGUUGCUUUAGUUUUCUGUGCUGGAGUUUUCCCCUCAAGUGCUUAUCACAUUACUCAGUUUGUUUGCUGUGAUCUUGCUCGAAAUAGGCUCACAAGAGAGAUAUCAGUGCUGCUUGGUAGUAAUUUAUUCCAUCCUGCUUCUGAGUUCCUGCGCACGAUAGAUUAGGUGUGUCUAAUCAUCUAAUGUAUAUGGGGAAAAUACUUUGAAUCACUUUUUAAUUUUUCUUACAUAUUGAAAUAUAGUUUUCCAAAACAAGUUAUGUUUUGCUAAAUACUCAGGUUUCUCAUGGACAGUACAAAAAAGAUCCAAUGAGCAUAACUUCAAACAAAAAUUAGUAUAUGUGCAGACAAUUUUAAUGCUUUUAACUAACUUAACUAAUUUCCUUGGUAGAAGUGAUUUAGUUAAAAGUUGUAUAUUUUGAGAGGGAUGGAGUAUUUGUGUUGAUGAUCGCUUGACAUAGGGAUGAUGACAUGUACUCACAAAAACGGACAGGAUAAAUCCUAUUGAUGGAGCUGAGUAGCAGCUGCAAAGAUAGAUCUAACCAAGGUAGCCAGGAUCGAGUCCCAGCAUGUAGGAUCGCACGAUCUUACGUGCUUUCCCCACCAAAACGAGCUACGACCUUGAUCUGGGUCGUUUUUGCCAUUUUUAUGAUCAGGAUCGAGUUUCUACAGCAGAAACGUAAGGGAAAAACGUACUGGGCUCUACGAAUCGGGUCGGGUCAAAAUAAAAGAAGAUUGAGAAGAAGAAAAACACUGUAUAAGGGAAGAUGUAAUCAAGGAUUUGCAACUCUUGUUUUCUGUUUCUGCGGCGGCGCUCCAUGGGAAAGAAGAGGACUCAGUCAAAUUAGGUUAAACUUGUAGAAAUCUAAUCUCUUGUUUGGGCCUUAAGGCCCAAUACCGAAAUACUUUACUUUUUUAAACAAACACGUGACUUUCAAAAAGAAAUACCUUGCCUUCUAUUAUAAAUAAAUAAUAAAUACCUUGCCUUUUAUUUCAGAAAAAAACAGUAGUAAAUGAUAUAAAAAAUGACAAACUAUUAUUAAUUAACUUAGUUUGAUGUUGUGAUCUAUAAGUUAUUUUGUUUUUUGUUUAUGUAUAGUAAUUUUUAUGUUUUCGUGUGUGUAUGUGUGUGAAGUUACAACUAUGCCCUUGAGUGGGUUCUUACGAACCGUGUUACGUUCCCCGACUUUACGUCCCUUCACCAGCCGAUCGAACCUACGUAAGAACUCGUUCCUGACUACAUUGGAUCUAACAGUGUGUUUAAGAAGCAAAAGUUAGUUAUCCUCUUCCAAGUUUCAGGAAGUAGCAUUAACAUUAACUAUUCAAAAGAAAAACUCACUGCUGUCUGUGAUAUCUUCUUUAUUAGUUAGUCUUAAUGUUGUUGUGGUGCAUAAGCAAUAUCCAUCUAUACUACAGGUGCCAUCAUUUAUAUAUCAUAAAGUUAUUGUAUUACAUCAAACUAUAACACAUUUUGCAGAAGAAGUUAAAUGACAUGAAGCGCAAUUGAAAUAGCAGCAUGCUCAUGCUGUUCCACUGAUGUGGUUUUCCCAUCCCUCCUAAAAAGGUGGAAAUAUGAGACAAAAUGGUUAGCCUAAAAUUACGGCGUGAGUUUCGAUAUAUUAUAGUUAGAUAUGAAACUUUCCGGGGACUUAUCUUAGAACCAUUGUUUUGAGCUUCAUAGGGUAUUCCCAUGAGCAAUAGUUGAGACUAAUAUCUUCAAUUAGAGGGAGUUAAAAAAAAUUACCCAGGGAUUUAUAAAAAGGAGGAAGGAGGUAGUACUUAUACCUAUAAUGGAGGAAGAUAUAAUAUGGUUCAUUUCAGGAUCUAGAGGCUAAAGAACAUCUGUGGUUUUUAUUACAGUAUGUGAAAUCUAAUUCUAAUUCUAAUUCCUCACAAAAGACACUGAAUUCAUAUUUGUCCCUAAGAGAAAAAAUAAUUCUUGUCAGGGACUAAUGUGAACUCGUUAACAUUUCCCUUGAACUUAUUAUAACUUUUGUCAAGCAGGGAAUCUAUUUAUUGAGUCAAAUGUUAUGGAAGAAAUGAAGCUUCGGCUAGAUAAGUGAUGAAGAUAAACUCAGGAUGUGGAAGCUAAAAUUAGUAAAUGUGAGAUGAGUAUGGUUAUGACGAAUGUGAACUCGUUAACAUUUCCCUUGAACUUAUUAUAACUUUUGUCAAGCGGGGAAUCUAUUUAUUGAGUCAAAUGUUAUGGAAGAAAUGAAGCUUCGGCUAGAUAAGUGAUGAAGAUGAACUCAGGAUGUGGAAGCUAAAAUUAGUAAAUGUGAGAUGAGUAUGGUUAUGACGAAAACCCACUCACCACUUGAAUAAAAUGUCAUUGAAUAAGAAAGAGUAACGAUGUAGGGGCUAUUUAUUUUUUUGUGAUUUUGACUUCUAUAGUAUUAUAUUGUAUGUGGAAGUAAUGUAUCAUAUCCCAAUUUGAAAAUAAAUGCUAAUUUUUUUUUAACAAGCUAAAUUAGCCUACCAAAAUUGUUACUCAAGCUAAAUUGUCACUAGCUAACACCAUUAGACCAACUCAAAUGAGUUGAAAAUAAAUGUAAAUUGAUGUCGUUAGCUUAUUCCCUUUUGAGAGACUAAAAUGAGUUUCAUGAUUUGUGAGGGACUAAGUUGUCCCUUGAUUUUUCAUUACAAUGCCGCUAUGUGAGAUAACUAAUGUUGUAAAUGCUACAUCACAUAAUUAACUAAGCAGUCCACAUAAUCGAUUAAGAGUUAAUUGAGUCAUAAAAUUUUCUUAAGGGACAAAUGUGUGUUAACUAAAUCCUUAUGGGUGCUGAGAGAUUGAUUGUGCAUACUUUCUUAUCAUACUACGCUCAUUCAGAAAUCUGACUUAUGAAGGAGUAUGGAAAUAAAGAUUCUUGGACUAAAUUGUUCAGUGUUUCUAACAUGGGAGGUGUUAAUUCUUAUCCUCAUUCGAAGGCACUUUAUGUUUAUGAGGAUAAUCAGGUGCUGCUCGAGUUAAAGUCAAAGUUGGUUGUUUACAAUUCUACGGAUGGUACUUUUAAGACUCUUAAAAUUCCAAUGCGCCCCUGCCAUAAUUGGAUGAUUCCGGAAGUCUACCAAGAGAGUUUGAUAUCUGUUAUUCUUAAUAGUUAAUAGUAGAAUCUAUGUAGUAAUAUAGAUGCUAUGUUACGCCCCAUGGUUUAUGAAAAAUACAUCCUAACUGCAACUGUUAAGUUAAUUUCCAUUUGUAUUAUGUACCUUAUGUUUUAUGAAGAACCCAUCCAAUGGAUUCUUCAAUUUCUUAACUGCAACCUACAUGCUCAUUUCCAUUUAUGUUAUGUAUUUUAUGUUUGUUGGUUACCAUUGAUUGCUAUUAUAUAUUCUUCGAUGAAAUUCUCAGCAUGAGAAAGUGGUGUGUUAGGUUUGAUUUAUUCGAUGGUUAAAGUUUUUGUUUGUUCUUUCAUCAUGCAUUUCAAUAUAUAAUGUAGUGGUUUGGUUUUCCAAGAUUGGAAUAAGAUUUAUGCUCAGUCACUUGUAUGUUUGUUAAUAUGUAUGCCGAUUGCCAUAAAAAUUUCAUUAUUGUGCUACAAAACCGCAUUGUUGCUGGGAUGUCUGAACCUUAACCUUUAGGUUCACUUGUAUGCAGUCUCUUGAUUUGAAAGUGCUCCUGCGGAAUGUAAUUAAUGUUUUGUUGAAGAGGGAGAUAUUGAGGAAUGUAGAAAUUAUCAUUAAUUAAGAGUCACUAAUAAUCAUUUUACAACUAUGCCUGUUAAAUUUAGAAAGUCAAACUCUUCUCGUUGAGCUGACACAUAUGGUAAAGAGUUAUUAAGUGAUUAUAUAUGACAGUUGUGUUUAAGAGAGUUUGAUGAUGUGAUAUUUUGAUAUUUCCGGGUGAUAGAUUUAAAGACUCAAUUGUUUUAUUUUAAGAAUGUCAAAAAGGUAGUGAGAUAGAAGUAGGAGAUGAAGAAACCACUACUCAGCUAGCUAGAGCUGUUUACUUGAUUAACAUCAGUAGCAAGGAUUAUUCGGCUUAUCAUCUGAUUCACUAUUUUAUUUUGAUCAUCAGGUUUUGGUUAUUUUUCUUAUCGUCUGAUUUCAUGAUUUGGGACAUAUUUCAUAUUGAAAUGUCGUGUUAAUUUGGGAAAUUUUUGCCUAAUUGUUAUUAUAGGAUAAAUUGGGACGAGUUUAGUUUCUAUCCCUAAUAACUACGAGGAUUAAGAUGUUUUAACAUAUAUACAAAUACGUGAAUUUGAUAAACACAGUGUUGUUCUCAGUUCUUUCUAAAUAGCUUGAUUUAAUUGUUCCAAAGUUAUAUCUUCCAUUAUAACCAAAACUAUCACACAUGAAAAAUGUGUCAUUACAAGGAAAAUAGUAUUGGUAGAGAUUUUUGAGAGGUGGCUCUUGUUCAUAUGGCUGAGCACCAGAGAAGUCUAUUUUGGUUGUAAUUAAAUAAUUUUUUAUUUUUUUACCUUUAAUUGAUGAGUAUUUACUAAAAUGAAUGACAUGGUAACAUUUUUUUAUACAAGCAGUGUUCUAAGGGAUCCAAAUAACUGACUGUAGCUCUCUCUCAUGUUGCAAGAAAUUUGUAUUGUUUAUAUAACGGACUAAAAAAGAGAACAAUAUCCGAUUUAUAUGUUAAUGGACUAGAAAACAAACGCUCAAAAGGUUGGAAAAGUGCAGCCAAUUUAGCAUUCUUUUGCUGAGUCUUGAGAAAAGGGUUAUUCUUAGGGCAUCUUUCUUGAAAUUUCUUGUGUCCAAAGGUUUGAUUAAGGAUGCUAAAUUGGCUUCAUCUUUCCAACUUUAUGAGUGUUUGUUUUUCAAGAAGUUCGUGAAUUGCUUUGAGGAAGAAGCUUCUCAGCUGUUGAAGUUGUAUGAAGAGAAAAUAGAUGUUUUCAAUUGGUGUUGAAAAAAGAUUUUAAGCUGGGAGAUUCGCGAGCACAAUCUAAAAAGUUACACCAAUCAUGAUUUGUGACGGACUAACUUGUCCCUUCCCUUUAAAAAAAAAACGUGUGCCUUGAUUUUUCAUUAAAAUGCCACUAUGUCAGUAAAUAAUGUUGUUAAUGUUACAUCACAUAAUAAACUUAGUAGAUUAAGAAACAAUUGAGUAAUAGAUUUUUGUCAAGGGACAAAUGUGUCCCAAUUAUUUUUUUAAGAGCCAAAAGUUACAUUUCUUAUUAGACCAUUGAAUCAUGUAUUUUUGUGAGGGAUUGUAAUGUGUUUUCAUUCAAAUAAAAAAAAAGAAGUAAACCAACUAAAUAAUCCUUGUAUCGAAUUUUCAAUUUGAUCUAUGAGAACAUGAAUAUUUCAAUUUGGUACACGACUUUGUAAAAUGUUUUUCAAGUUCGUCGUCCUCUAUGUCAAUGUUCAUUGAAAACACCGUUAACAAUGAUGAUGUGUCACGAGGGAAGUUUAAAUGAUCAUCCAUUAAACUUUUUUGUUUUUAUUUUUUUAGGGUAUCCAUUGAACUUUUAACUACCACACAAGUUAGUUAGACACUCAUUCAUUUAAAUAUAUCCCCCUCGAGCUUUCAUCCACAUACAUUGUUGUUGGUGCUCCAUCAACGAGACACACCACAUGCUUUCAUCCACGGUUGGUUAACAAGGAAAGUUUGAAAGAUUAUUACAUUAAGAGUCACCAAACAAAUACGUUGAUUGUUUGUACUAUAAGCUUAUAACAUAUACAAUUAUACAUAUACACUGUUCAUAAGUCUACGAUAUAAAAAUAACUUAAAUAUAAACACUUAUCAUGAAAGUGCAUGUGCUAUAAGCUUGUAAUUUUCAUAAGUAUCUGAUAUAGCUUAUUAAAACAACUUAUAACAUAUAAACAUCAAUUUAACAUUAUUUUAUCUUUUACUAUAAAAAUAUAGUAACACACAAACGUUCAUCAUGAUAAGUGUUUGCGUUUUAAGCUACAAAUAAAGUUGUUUAUCCAAACAUGCCUAUGUAAAUUUACAUGUUCUCAACUUCAACUUCAACUCUUCAUCUUUCCCUCACUCAAAAGAAAACUUCCACUUUUCACAUUUGAGACAGGAAGGAAAGAUACUAACUUCAUUCACCCAACCAACCAACCAACCAAGCAGAACAACAACGAUGGAUCGACACACAGCAACAACAAUGGUAUGAAUCGAACAUUCUUAUUACUCUGAUUUUGUUACUAUCAUCAUGUUUUGUUACUAUCGGAGAACAUUGCUCUUCCCUAAUAACCUCAAAUUCAGAUUCAAAACACUAACAGUAACACAAUCUUCAUUUCUUCUCCAACCCUUUUCUUCAUCUACCAAACAACAACAACACUCUUUCACAGUUAACUAUCUCAUUCAAAAUCUUGGUUUCUCCCCACAAACAGCUUCCAAACUCUCCAAACGACUUCAACUCAACAACUCACAAAAACCAGACUCAGUCCUCUUAUUAUUCAAAUCCUAUGGCUUCUCAAACUCCCAGUUAUCAACUCUCAUCAAAACCUACCCUAAUCUUCUCUCUGUUAAUCCCAACAAGACCAUUCUUCCUAAAUUCAACUUCCUUCUCUCAAAGGGUGCUUCAAAUUCAGACCUUGUCUACAUCAUCUCCAAAAAUCCUUUUAUAUUGUGUCGAAGCUUGGAAAAUACAAUAACCCCUUGUUAUCAUUUUAUCAAAAGAUUCUUACUUUCUGAUCAAUCUAUCAUCGCUUCUCUCAAACAUUGCGCUUGCUUGCUUUAUUCUAAAAUCCCAUCUCACAAUAUUCAAUUCCUGCUUCAAAAUGGGGUACCUGAGUCUAAAGUU
Molecule: long non-coding RNA, 8998 nt
Filed under: Medicago truncatula (barrel medic)
Lineage: Eukaryota; Viridiplantae; Streptophyta; Magnoliopsida; Fabales; Fabaceae
Description: long non-coding RNA (MTRU_LNC008075)
Source: RNAcentral